This 333-nucleotide ribosomal RNA is filed under the name uncultured bacterium. RNAcentral's name for it is "bacterial SSU rRNA". It matches the Rfam family "Bacterial small subunit ribosomal RNA", at positions 568 to 898 of the family's 1533-position model. The record is from RNAcentral.
CCCGCAGGCGGUCGGUCGCGUUUGAGGUAACAGCUCCUGGCUUACCUGGGAGAGCGUCUCAAAGACGGGCUGACUUGAGGACCAGAGAGGGACACGGAAUUCCGGGUGGAGUGGUGAAAUGCGUAGAUAUCCGGAGGAACACCGAAGGCGUAGGCAGUGUCCUGGCUGGCACCUGACGCUCAGGGGCGAAAGCUAGGGGGAGCGAACGGGAUUAGAUACCCCGGUAGUCCUAGCCGUAAACGAUGACCACUAGGUGUGCGGGGUAUCGACCCCCUGCGUGCCGCAGCUAACGCAAUAAGUGGUCCGCCUGGGGAGUACGGUCGCAAGAUUAAA